Non-coding RNA from Monodelphis domestica (gray short-tailed opossum), 4033 nucleotides. The record is from RefSeq and is a predicted model, not a curated record. NCBI's taxonomy places the organism in Eukaryota, Metazoa, Chordata, Mammalia, Didelphimorphia, Didelphidae.
GGAAUGUGUGGAAACCUUCUAUUUUAUUAAUUAGCCUUACUUUCCCCUGAAAUAGUCUAUUUUGAUGGGUAGGUUAUUAUCCUUUCCCUGGGUCAAUUCUCAUUUUCCAGGAAUUAUUUUCUUCAGAAAUUUUUUUCACUACUUUUUUCUUUUUGCCAAUUCUGAUUUUUUAAAAGAAUUGGCGUCUUUCUCAAAUAUUUUGUGCCUCCAUUACCACAAUGUUGAAUUUCUUUUCAUUAUGUUCUUGGAUUUUUCUCAUUAAUUUUCUCAGUUUUUUGUUUUCUGGUCUUAUUUUAUUUUUAAAAUACAAUUUUUGUUUCUUUUUAAAAUCUUUCUUUAGCUCUUUUAGGAGCUAUUGUUGGAUUUCUGUCCAAUCUCCACUUUUCGUGGAGGCUUUUUGUAGUCAUUGUCUUUUUCUGAAUUUGUAUCUUGAACUUCUCUGUCACCUUAGUAAUUAUAUUUAUGAUUGGAUUCUUUUGGUUUGCUCAUUUUUUAGCAUAUUUCUUGACUAUACCUUAGAUUAGAGUUGGGCACAAUCACCAGUUUUUGAGUUAAUACUCAAAUAAUACAGUUUGCUAAGAAAAAUAAAACUUGGAGGGUAUUAAAUUUGCUGACAGGCCACUUUGACUUUAAGCCUGUAACCCAAAAGUUUCUACCAAGCCCACCACACCCUGCUGCAUGUAAGCAUAAGACAAUCAGGAGGUGGAGGUCUGCCUUUGAGGUAUCUUAUAAUACAGAAGGUGGAGGUCUGCCCUUGGGGUACCUGCUAGGUGCAAUGACUACAUCAGUCUUGGGGCUGAUGACUCCUAACAUUAAUAGGAAAUUGUCAGCAAAAACAAUUAACCUCUGACCUUUUAUUGAGAGAACUUAGAAAGGUCAGUCAUAUAACUGAUAUUAGUUACCUCACAUAGUGAUGAUUUCUGUACUUUCUAGCUUACUAUGCACUUGCAGCAUUAAGAACUGCCCAUGUGAAAGAUUUAUUUUCACCCCACUUUAAUUUCUAUUGUAUUUUCUCUCUUUAAUAUGGUACUAUGUCAUCAGAUUUUCCUAAGACUUGGGGUCUUUAGUCUUGAUCUUGACCACAGUCACCCUGCUUCCAGUAAACCUAUUAUUUUCUUGGAGACUGUAUUGGUGUGAUAAUUUUUCACCACAAAAUGUGAAUUAAAACAACUCUGAGGUACCCACUACACAUCUAUUAGAUUAGCAAAUAUGAAGUAAAGGAAAAUAAUAAAUAAUGUACAGUCUGGCAUAAUUGGGACACUAAUGUCUUGCUGGGGGAGUUGCAAACUGAUCCAACCAUUCUGCAGGGCAAUUUGGAAUUAUGCCCAGUAAGACCACUACUAGGUCUGAAAUCCAAAGAGACUUAAAAAAAUGGGAAAGGACAUGGUUGUACAAAAAUAGUUAAAGCUGCCCUUUUUGUGGUGGCAAAGAAAUGGAAACUAAAGGGACAUCCCUCAAUUUGGGAAUGGCUGAACAAAUUGUGGCAUAUGAUGGUGACAGAAUACUAUUGUGCUCUGACAUAAACAGGAGGAUGAUCUCAGAAAGAGUUGGAAAGACCUACAUUAAUUGAUGCACUGAAAUGAACAGAACCAGGAAAACAUUAUAAACAGUAACAGCAAUAGUGUGGAAUGAUCAAAUUUGAUAGACUUAGCUGCUCUCAGUGAUACAAUGAUUCAGACAGCAUUUUAGAUAGGCAGUAGGGAAGGAGUCAGCAGACAGAGACUGAGAAUAAGUCAGAGUGUGGGGACAGAUUCCAGUUCCAUUGUCAUGUGGACCAUUUCAACUAUUUCAGGUCCUGAGCUCUGUGGCUCUCAGGCUCAGUAAGAAUUCCAUUAUCUGCUUGUUUUCUUAUUGGUGGUUUGGAAAGUGAAGCCUGACUUCAGAUCUAUACUCAAAUGCAUUUUCUCUCUUUUCUUUCCUGUCCAAUUUGGAUUUCUUAUUUUUUUAAUUUAAUUUAAUUUAAUUUUAUUUUUUUGGUUACAAUACUCACUUUAUUUCCCUCCCUCCUCUCCACCCACACUUCCCACAGCCAAGGCGCAAUUUCAUUGGCUAUUACUUGUGUCCUUGAUCAGAACCUAUUUCAAUAAUGUUGUUUGCACUAGGAUGUUCAUUUAGAGUCUACAUCCCCAACCAUAUCCCUUUGACCCAUGGAUUCAAGCAGUUGAUUUUCUCCUGUGUUUUACUCCCACAGUGUUUCCUCUGGAUGUGGAUAGUGCUUUUUCUCAUCCAAAUUGGAUUUCAGAAUCUAAAACAAGGCUUACUUUGUGCAUAUUUCCCCCAUACUUUUGUCACUUCUGUCAUCCAUGGUUGUGAAUCUUUUUUUUUAAUGUCCCCAGGAUAAGGUCAGGAGUUGAAUCAAAGGGAUGUUAAUAGUAGAAAUUUCUGGGGCAACAAGGAAGGUGUUGGGUUCUUAUGAAUUCAACAGGAGCUCCUAUUACAAUUUUCCAAGUUAAAGAAAUCCAGGGUACACCUGUGCAUCCCUGCUCAACCUAGGUAACUUCCUUUUCAAUUGCAAAGAUUUUUAUUGGUCUUUGACUCAUCCUCAUUUGCUAACAUAUGUAGGCAGAAAGUGAUGGUGAAUGCAAAUAUUCCAUAACCUUGGGAAUGGGUUCAAGCCUCUUAUUCCUCAUCACUUCUUUUAUUGUCCUUUCAGGAUUCAUCAGGAAUCCAGAUUCUAUCUAGGCUAACUGUCUUUCUACUGAGAGCCAUGAUCCCACUUAGUAUGGGAAUAGAGUGUAUUGUUCCAUCAGGCAAAGUGUUGCCGUCAAAUAAAAAGAAAAUAAUAGCUAAGAGUGCCUGGUAAUUCUCACUUAGAUUCCUUGGUUCUUUAAUGGCUCAGCUUAAGCACCAAGAGUACACUACCAAAUGUUUCUUCAUUCCUCAACUUCUUCCCUAGUAACUUCUUUCCUAGAAUUACCCUGUAUUUGUUUUUUAGUUCAUCUUAGCAUAUAUACAUUAUUUUUUGUUUAGUGGUAUCAAAUGCAAAUGGAAAUGGAAACCAUGAAACAGUACAUUAGAAUCUGUAGACAUCAUGUUGACUUAGAGAAUCCUCUAGUCAUAUUACCUAUAUUUCAUUUUUUAUAUUCUGUUAACUAGUUACCAAUUACAUUUCAAUCUUGUCUACCAUGUCACUCUUUGGUGCGUGGCACUGUUUCACACCUCUGGACUAAGCCAUGUCAUUCCCCUAGAGGGCAGGAACUGGUUGCACUAAUAAAUAUUUGUUGGUUGACUGGAUUGAUAGGUACAAUUGGGUACAUCCUUUUUGUUGCUAGGGAAGCUUGUUAUGAAACGUAGGGAAUGAAAUUACAUAAGUCUCAACUGAAAGAAAAAGAAGUCUGCAUAUCAAAUGUAAUGAAGGUAGUAAAAUGGAAAGACAAGGUAGAUCUGGGCUGAGGUAUCUGUCAAUUUUUGCUGGUGCUUUUUGAGUGCUGGCUAACGAUUAUAAGUUUUAAAGCAAAUGAAAAGUUUAUUCAGGAUAAAGAAUCUGUUGUUUCCUCAUAGGGCCAAACACUCAGCCAAUAAAAGAUGAUUACAUCACAGAGCACUUAUGAUAUGUCACAUCACCAAGGUAACAGGAGGGAUGGUGAUAAACAAAGGGUGGAGCCUGGGGAGAUCAUUUCUGAAAAGAAAAAGAUGAGUGAUAAAGUAGAGAACAAGGAAUACAAGAUGAAAGCAUGUGAUAGAUCUAUUGUGAAUUGACUGUAUGUUCAUCAAAUGAGAGAACAAAUGGAGCACUUUCAAAAUCAGAAGAAGCAAAGCAAUAAAGAAGUACUGAAUUUUCUGGUGAUAAACUAAGAAGAAAAAGCAAAUAUGAACACAUGUGAUACUUGAAGAAGAGAAAUUUAUUCUUGUGCAAGGAGCUUGAUAUCUUUUAAUCUUCUCUGGAAAAAAUGAUGCAAAGAAGAGUCGAACAAUUAGAUUUAUUUUUGCUUAUUUCAUAUGUAUACUAUUCUUCAAGCAUUUUUCUAUUUUUGUAAAGUAUCUUUUAUUAUAACAAUAAAGGUUGAAUAUAUAUGAAUAUAUAAUAUAUAUG